RNAcentral lists this RNase P RNA (395 nucleotides) under Govanella unica. RNAcentral's name for it is "Govania unica Bacterial RNase P class A". It matches the Rfam family "Bacterial RNase P class A". Rfam says of the family: Ribonuclease P (RNase P) is a ubiquitous endoribonuclease, found in archaea, bacteria and eukarya as well as chloroplasts and mitochondria. Its best characterised activity is the generation of mature 5'-ends of tRNAs by cleaving the 5'-leader elements of precursor-tRNAs. The record is from Rfam by way of RNAcentral. Lineage: Bacteria; Pseudomonadati; Pseudomonadota; Alphaproteobacteria; Emcibacterales; Govanellaceae.
UCAGAUGGCCGGGCGGCCGCUCUCCCUGUCAAAAGGGAGGGAGGAAAGUCCGGGCUCCACGGAAGCACGGUGCCGGAUAACGUCCGGCGGAGGUGACUCCAGGGAUAGUGCCACAGAGAGCAGACCGCCUGCCUAAGCCUUCGGGUUCAGCAGGUAAGGGUGAAAGGGUGCGGUAAGAGCGCACCGCGUCUCCGGUGACGGAGACGGCAUGGUAAACCCCACCGGGAGCAAGACCGAAUAGGGAUGGUAGUCGGUCGCAAGACCGGCAGGCCCCGUUUCCGGGCCACCGUCCGGGUUGGUUGCUUGAGGCGUUCGGCAACGAACGUCCCAGAGGAAUGGCCGUCUCCCGAAGGCAACUUCGGGAACAGAACCCGGCUUACAGGCCAUCUGACCUU